This 813-nucleotide ribosomal RNA is filed under the name Triticum aestivum (bread wheat). RNAcentral's name for it is "partial small subunit ribosomal RNA". The record is from RNAcentral. Lineage: Eukaryota; Viridiplantae; Streptophyta; Magnoliopsida; Poales; Poaceae.
AUGCAAGAGUUAGGGCUGAGAGAAGAGGAUCUGGACGAUGUCGUCUUCGAUGAGAAGGAAGCACCACCAGUGGCUGCGCGUUGGGUGGCUUUGGCUAGGGUUCAUACCCCCAAAACCUAUAGCCAGACGUGGUUCUUCUAGAAUAUGAGAUCCGCUUGGGACUUGGCACAAGAGGUCAAGUUCAGACCGCUAGAAGAUAACCCAUACACAGUCCAAUUCUCGUGUCUUGGGGAUUGGGUGAGAGUCAUGAACGAUGGCCCAUGGCACUUCCGAGGGGACGCGGUGAUCCUCAAACCUUAUGAUGGGGUGACAAAGCUAACGACCAUCAAGAUGGACACAAUCGAGAUAUGGGUGGAAAUCCAUGAUGUACCGUAUCUGUAUGCCCAUCUAGUUCCAUCUCUUGCUGCUAAAGUGGGGGAAGUUCUAUUUGCCGAACCCCCGUCGCAAGAUUUCGCGGGAAACUUUUAUCGCGUUUGGGUCAGAAUUGAUGUCACAACGCCACUGAAGAACGCCGUGUCUAUGAUCCGUGAAUCUAAGCACCAGAUUUAUCGAGUGAAAUAUCAGAAGUUGCCAGACUGGUGCGCAGUUUGCGGAAUGCUUGGUCACUUGUUUAAGGAGCAUGGCACAGGAAUACAUCCUCCAUCGGCUCUCGUCUUCAAGGAGUUACGGGCUGACUGGUUUAUGAGAUCUGGCCGAGGUCCAGGUGGUGGCCAAGGUCGUCGGGAGGAAGAAGAGGAGGUCGUCGUAGUGGAGGACGGGGUCCAACCCCUGCACCAGGGACGCAUAAGGAGUUUCAGGAGGAGGGUGAACUAG